AUGGGUCGACAAACCUGACCCUCAGACUACAGUAAUUCCCGAAAAUACUCUGAUUCGGACGUCACUUUUUACCAACAAGUGACUGUUUCUAACUCUGAAAACGCCCAACUGCUUAAGUAAGCAACCAGCUGUGGAGAGAAAUCGAGUCUCAAGUCAACUGAAUGAAGUCCUAUCCUUUAAGGUGUGUCAGAAGGAAGAGGUGAGCGCAGGCCUCGGAGCUAUUGAUGCUACCUAAAGCAAGAUCCUGAGGAGGCUCCGGCCCAGAUCACGGGGUCCUGUGUCAGUGCUGUGAU
Neogale vison (American mink) is the source of this 293-nucleotide long non-coding RNA. RefSeq lists it as uncharacterized. The transcript has 4 exons. Lineage: Eukaryota; Metazoa; Chordata; Mammalia; Carnivora; Mustelidae. The record is from RefSeq and is a predicted model, not a curated record.